This 464-nucleotide ribosomal RNA is filed under the name uncultured bacterium. RNAcentral describes it as "partial 16S ribosomal RNA". It matches the Rfam family "Bacterial small subunit ribosomal RNA", at positions 28 to 507 of the family's 1533-position model. The record is from RNAcentral.
GACGAACGCUGGCGGCGUGCUUAACACAUGCAAGUCGAACGGAAAGGCCCUGCUUGCAGGGUACUCUAGUGGCGAACGGGUGUGUAAAACGUGCGUGCUCUGCCCUGCACUUCGUAUAAGCCUGGGAAACUGCGUCUCAUAUCGUAUAGGAGCCAUCAUUAGUGAGAUGGUUGGACAGGUUUUUCUGUGUAGGAUGAGCUCGCGGCCUAUCAUCUUGGUGGUGGGGUAAUGGCCUACCAAGGCUGCGACGGGUAGCCUGCCUGGGAGGGUGGACGGCCCAAUGUGGACUGGAGGAAGGCCCAGAAGCCUACGGGAGGAAGCAGUGGGGAAUAUUGCACAAUGGGCGGAAGCCUGAUGCAGCGAAGCCGCGUGGGGGAUGACGGCCUUCGGGUUGUAAACUCCUUUCGCUAGGGACGAAGCGUUUUGUGACGGUACCUAGAUAAGAAGCACCGGCUAACUACGUG